AGUGAACGCUGGCGGCAGGCCUAAUACAUGCAAGUCGAACGGCAGCACAGCAGAGCUUGCUCUGUGGGUGGCGAGUGGCGGACGGGUGAGGAAUACAUGGGAAUCUGCCCAGUCGUGGGGGAUAACGUAUGGAAACGUACGCUAAUACCGCAUGCGCCCUACGGGGGAAAGCCGGGGACCGCAAGGCCUGGCGCGAUUGGAUGAGCCCAUGUUCGAUUAGCUAGUUGGCGGGGUAAAGGCCCACCAAGGCGACGAUCGAUAGCUGGUCUGAGAGGAUGAUCAGCCACACUGGAACUGAGACACGGUCCAGACUCCUACGGGAGGCAGCAGUAGGGAAUAUUGGACAAUGGGGGCAACCCUGAUCCAGCCAUGCCGCGUGAGUGAAGAAGGCCCUCGGGUUGUAAAGCUCUUUGUCCGGAAAGAAAGCAUCUGGUUAAUACCCGGUUGUUCUGACGGUACCGGAAGAAUAAGCACCGGCUA
This 480-nucleotide ribosomal RNA is filed under the name uncultured bacterium. Its description in RNAcentral is "bacterial SSU rRNA". It matches the Rfam family "Bacterial small subunit ribosomal RNA", at positions 29 to 499 of the family's 1533-position model. The record is from RNAcentral.